This 465-nucleotide ribosomal RNA is filed under the name uncultured bacterium. RNAcentral describes it as "partial 16S ribosomal RNA". It matches the Rfam family "Bacterial small subunit ribosomal RNA", at positions 38 to 507 of the family's 1533-position model. The record is from RNAcentral.
GGGGGGGGGGGGGGGGGGGGGGGGGGGGGGGGGGGCGGAGGGAAAGGCCCCGUUGGGGGUACGCGAGUGGCGAACGGGGGAGUAACACGUGAGUAACCUGCCCUUGACUUCGGGAUAACUUCAGGAAACUGGGGCUAAUACCGGAUAGGAAUCCUUGCUGCAUGGUGGGGGUUGGAAAGCUUCGGCGGUUUUGGAUGGACUCGCGGCUUAUCAGCUUGUUGGUGGGGUAGUGGCUUACCAAGGCUUUGACGGGUAGCCGGCCUGAGAGGGCGACCGGCCACAUUGGGACUGAGAUACGGCCCAGACUCCUACGGGAGGCAGCAGUGGGGAAUAUUGCACAAUGGGCGGAAGCCUGAUGCAGCAACGCCGCGUGCGGGAUGACGGCCUUCGGGUUGUAAACCGCUUUCAGCAGGGGCGAAGCUUGUGGUGACGGUACCUGCAGAAGAAGCACCGGCUAACUACGUG